This 1455-nucleotide long non-coding RNA is filed under the name Helianthus annuus (common sunflower). RNAcentral's name for it is "hypothetical non coding rna". Lineage: Eukaryota; Viridiplantae; Streptophyta; Magnoliopsida; Asterales; Asteraceae. The record is from RNAcentral.
GUUUAAACUUCAUUUCUUUCUUUCUUCUGCUAUGUCUUUUGCCAUAUCUCUCUCACAUAUAUAUUUUCUUUUAUUAUUAAACCUAUAAUAAUAAUAAGGCUUCACCCCGUUUUAAGUGUUUUAACUCCCGAUCACCGCUACCCUUUCCGAUUGAUCUGAGCCUCAUAACUUAUGUCAGGGCUCUGCCCGACUAAGUUGUUGGGAUUCGGUCUCGGGACAUCGGGACAAGGUUGAAUUAGGGGUACUAUACUUAAAACAAGUGCAUUAUAUAUUUUUAAAAUAGUCCAAAAGUUAUACCCAAUAUUCUACCCGGAGACUUUCUAGUUGAACCUAAAGUUACAAAGUGGGUCCAUUCUCUUUUCUCACCAUUUUAUUUCCUUUUUGUGAUUUACCCAAAACUAUUAUUUAUUAUUCUAUUUUGUAAACAAAUCUCAUCAAAAGUCGUAUCUAUUAUUUUAUUUACCCAAUAGGAAACCCUAAUUGAGACACCCAAGUAAUCCUGCACCACUCCUAAAAUUUUCAGAAUACUCAGAACCAGGAUCAGGACCCCUAAAACUCAAGGGGGGUAUUCCCUACUCGACAAUUAUCCAUAUAUUUUGCUGUCAAAAUUAAAAUUUUCGUUUCCAUCAACUCAGCAAGCCUACAGGGACACGAACCUACCCUACCCUAAAAUGUUACCCGUCGCGCCACGCGACAGGACCAGGUAUCCCUGUCGCGACACGCGAGGAAGUCGAAAUUUCAGUAUAAAUAGGGGGUUGGCACUUGAAUUCUGGUGUUAGUUCGACAAGAAAAUUCCAAAUAGACACUGAGUUAUAGUCGUUUUUCUACCAAACACAUACAAUCCCAAAACGUUGCUACGAUACCGGGUAUUAACUCAAUCGCUGCUACGAUUCAAUAUCCGAUCGACUGAAACUAUCUGAUAGGAUGUUUAAGUGCUAUCCUUUGUCAUUAGUCGUGAUUCCGACAGGAUGUUUGAGUACCACCCGAACUCGGGGAAUACUCUGUCCUUCGUUGCGAAUCCGAUGGAUGUUUAAGUGAUUACACUUUGUCAUUCGUCGUGAGCGUUUUAAUCUCGUGAGUUAUCGUAAAUGCUGUAUUAGUUAAUUACCUAGUUUCGUGUGCAUUAUCGCUUAAAUUAGGUUAUCAGGCUUAUCAGUAGACUAAACACUACCCAUACACUUACAAUCAAAGUAGAUGCUAAUUUUCAGAAGAAUCUGAAUCAUGAAGCUUGUUAAUUCAAUACUGCAUGCUUAUAAUGUAAUUACAGUAGAUUGGAGUAAGGAUUGGAUCCGGCACUGAAGGACUUCAAGAAGUGGCUUAUUUUAUUAAUUAAAUCACAUUAAGAAAUCUUGUUUUAUAAAAUCAAAUUUAUUUAUAUUAAAGCUACCAUUGUAAAACAUGGGUUUUAUCCCAUCUAUUUAAAUAAAAUCCGGUGUUUUCUAAACUCUGAUAUUU